CUACCUCAUGUACUUUCCUAGGAAAGUUUCCUGAAUAGACCUCUCCUCUUUUUUUUUUUUUUUUUUUUUUUUUUUUUUUUUUUUUUUUUUUUUUGGUGGUGGUUGUUUAUUUUGUUGUGGAUUUUGAAGGAGGAAGAAUGAUAGAUGAAUGGAUGGAUGGUUUAAAUAAAUAGAUACUUCUACCAGAUACUUCGAGAUCUUGUCUAGCCCUAACUUCCUACGUUGGAUAUGAGAACCAUAAAUACCAAAGAAAGUAGUUGGUACCUUUCUCUGGUCAUGAGGCCAGUCAGUUUUUCUAUGAACAUCUCUUCAGAGGAGCUUUAUUUUUAGAAGAGCUUUAAAA
RNAcentral lists this long non-coding RNA (343 nucleotides) under Pan troglodytes (chimpanzee). Its description in RNAcentral is "long non-coding RNA NONPTRT000440". The record is from RNAcentral. Lineage: Eukaryota; Metazoa; Chordata; Mammalia; Primates; Hominidae.